GAUGAACGCUGGCGGCGUGCUUAACACAUGCAAGUCGAACGGAAAGGCCCUGCUUUUGCGGGGUUCUCGAGUGGCGAACGGGUGAGUAACACGUGAGUAACCUGCCCUUGACUUUGGGAUAACUUCAGGAAACUGCGGCUAAUACCGGAUAGGAGCUCCUGCUGCAUGGUGGGGGUUGGAAAGUUUCGGCGGUUGUGUUUGGAGUUGCGGCUUAUCAGCUUGUUGGUGGGGUUGUGGAUUCCCAAGGAUUUGACGGGUAGCCGGCCUGAGAGGGUGACCGGCCACAUGGGCCUAGGGGAGGGGGCAGGACGGCAACGGGAGGCAAGAGUGGGGAAUAGUGGGAGAUGGGCGGAGGGAUGGUGGAGGAACGCCGGGUGGGGGAUGACGGCUUUCAGGGUGUAAACAAUGUGCGAGUGUGAAGGAGCGUGAGUAAGGGAAAUGGGCAAAGAAGCACCGGCAAACUACGU
This 467-nucleotide ribosomal RNA is filed under the name uncultured bacterium. Its description in RNAcentral is "partial 16S ribosomal RNA". It matches the Rfam family "Bacterial small subunit ribosomal RNA", at positions 28 to 506 of the family's 1533-position model. The record is from RNAcentral.